This 146-nucleotide ribosomal RNA is filed under the name Salix viminalis (osier). It matches the Rfam family "5.8S ribosomal RNA". From Rfam's summary of the family: 5.8S ribosomal RNA (5.8S rRNA) is a component of the large subunit of the eukaryotic ribosome. It is transcribed by RNA polymerase I as part of the 45S precursor that also contains 18S and 28S rRNA. The record is from RNAcentral. Lineage: Eukaryota; Viridiplantae; Streptophyta; Magnoliopsida; Malpighiales; Salicaceae.
GACUCUCGGCAACGGAUAUCUCAGCUCUCGCAUCGAUGAAGAACGUAGCGAAAUGCGAUACUUGGUGUGAAUUGCAGAAUCCCGUGAACCAUCGAGUCUUUGAACACAAUGCCGAGCUCCUGUCGAGGCACGUCUGCCAGGUGUCA